This 345-nucleotide ribosomal RNA is filed under the name Triticum aestivum (bread wheat). RNAcentral's name for it is "partial small subunit ribosomal RNA". The record is from RNAcentral. Lineage: Eukaryota; Viridiplantae; Streptophyta; Magnoliopsida; Poales; Poaceae.
AUGGCGACCCUGAGGAACCUGAAGAUCAAGACGUCGACGUGCAAGAGGAUCGUCAAAGAGCUGCGCUCGUACGAGAAGGAGGUGGAGAAGGAGGCCGCCAAGACCGCCGACAUGAAGGAGAAGGGCGCCGACCCCUAUGAUCUCAAGCAGCAGGAAAAUGUUUUAGCUGAGUCGAGGAUGAUGGUCCCAGACUGCCAUAAGCGGCUUGAAGCUGCACUGACAGACUUGAAAGCAACUCUGGCCGAGUUGAAGGAGUCAAAUGAACAAGGCACUGAGAUCGGUGAGGCUGAGGCUACAAUCACUGAAGUUGAAGCUGUCUACACGCCAACAGAAGCUGAAGAUUAA